UACGUAGGGUGCGAGCGUUAAUCGGAAUUACUGGGCGUAAAGCGUGCGCAGGCGGUGAUGUAAGACAGUUGUGAAAUCCCGGGCUCAACCUGGGAAUUGCAUCUGUGACUGCAUCGCUAGAGUACGGUAGAGGGGGAUGGAAUUCCGCGUGUAGCAGUGAAAUGCGUAGAUAUGCGGAGGAACACCGAUGGCGAAGGCAAUCCCCUGGACCUGUACUGACGCUCAUGCACGAAAGCGUGGGAGCAAACAGG
Molecule: ribosomal RNA, 251 nt
Filed under: uncultured bacterium
Lineage: Bacteria
Description: partial 16S ribosomal RNA
Rfam family: Bacterial small subunit ribosomal RNA
Source: RNAcentral